CUACUCCUUGUCCAGUGCCCACUGCAGUACCACGUGGUAUCGAUCUGUGCUUGAUGUUUUCUGUUUAGACAUUUUAAAGACCAUGACCCUACAGAUGUUAAUUGGUAUGACGGAAGAAGAAAAAUUUUUGCAGAACAGAUUUUUUGUAUGCUGUGUCCGUGUCAGGUACAUAAGGUGAAGCAAGCUAUGGACUAGACAGUGUAUUCAGCUUUCUCUGCUGAAAUAAUGUGACCAAAUCAAGUGUCACCUGGAAAGAGGAAUGUCAAUGGUGCUUUUUACAUCACCUCCAAAAUAGCCAUUGGAAAGUUCAAGCCAGAUCUGCUACAGCAAAUUGAACAUAAAGUGGCAUACUUUUGUGUCAGGAAAUGAGGAACAUGUAUGGCUGGACUGAGAAUCUAACUGGAGAUCCCUGCAUCACUACUUACAUAUCCCAUGGAAAUAUAGGAUCCUUGGCUAAUCAAGUGUCAUCUGCAGUGUUACAAAAGAAUAUUGGAUAUCAAUAAGAAAAAGAACUACCAGAAGGAGACGGUAAAGAGGAACAGACAUAUCACACCAUAAGACGUGCUUCAAAAUCUGAAUAUACAGAA
Long non-coding RNA from Saccostrea cuccullata (small rock oyster), 587 nucleotides. RefSeq lists it as uncharacterized. The transcript is spliced from 5 exons. NCBI's taxonomy places the organism in Eukaryota, Metazoa, Mollusca, Bivalvia, Ostreida, Ostreidae. The record is from RefSeq and is a predicted model, not a curated record.